This is a long non-coding RNA of Zonotrichia leucophrys gambelii, 1393 nucleotides long. RefSeq lists it as uncharacterized. The record is from RefSeq and is a predicted model, not a curated record. Lineage: Eukaryota; Metazoa; Chordata; Aves; Passeriformes; Passerellidae. The transcript has 4 exons.
CUUGGCUGUGAAGCUGCCUCUGCAGAGACACAAGAAGAGGCUUCAUUUUUUAGUAUUGUUUUGCAUAAACGUCUGGACAAAGUGCAAGCACAUUGGCCUAAUCUGAGGUGGCCCAGCUUCUGGAGUCUGCAGGCUGAAUUAGUUGCAAAGGACUUAAGACACAUUGCCCAAAUGUGAGGCUUUUUUUAGAUGGAAAGUUUGUAGGAAAACAGGAUACUUGUCUCUGAAGAGGUUGUCUGCUACUCAUUUCCGGCAUAAACUUCCUGCUGUUGCUACUUCAGAAACUACUGUCUAAUCCACUUGUGUCCCAGGCCUUUACCUCUUUCACUAUGCACCUGGUCCCCCCAGAUCAUGGACUUUCAAAAUUCAUUCCCCCAUAUCACCCCUGGCCUUAAUUUCCUUAGCAUCCACAAUCUGGGUCAUGUGACAAGUUUUUCCUCACUCAUUCUUUCCUUGAAUAAUCACUUUGUUCACCUCUCCCUCAAAUUUCCCUGUUUCCUCACAUGCCAUUCUUCACCAUAUUUAAAUUUGAACUGUCUGUUGAAGCCUGUAGAAAGAAGUUCCUUGCUUUUGUGGAUGUUUCAGCAUUGUCUUGCUGCAAACAGAAAACACCCACAGCCUUGCAAACACCCCUGGAAAUUUUAUUUCCUGGGUUUUUUUGACUUUGCAUCAAUUCCUUUCAUCCUCUAAUUAGUACACUUGUUAUGGGCUCAGUUUAGUUUAGCUAGUCUCUGUGGAGUGUGGUAAUACCAUGCCAGAAUAUUUUUUUUUGUGAUAAAAUGCCAUUUUCUUCCAUCAGGGCAGAUUACACAGUCAGCUGUGUAUUAAAAGGUCAAUGUACAAAAACCUUAUAAAUGUAUUGACCAGUCUGGAAGCUAGUUGUUAUUUUUGUAAUGCCCUGGUGACACAAUGAUUAAACUGAUUAAGCCAUAAAUGAUGAGGACAUCAACUUCUGUCAGUUCAGCUCUUGGAAUAGCCCUCCAGCCCCCAGUCUCCCAGUGUUCUGGAUAAAUGUGCUUUGAGUUCGUCGUAAAACGCCGGGUCAAUGGACUGCCGAGUACUCAAACAAAGCAGAACGCCCUGACCACGUGCAUAGCCAGCUCUCCUGCCUGUGCUGCCACAGGUGAACCCAAGGCAAGGAAAUGUGAGCACUUGGCAGGCCUACAGCAGAUGCCAUCUGAGUUUGUCUGUGAUGAAGUGUCACAUACCCAGGGCUGGUGACGAGGGAGCUGAAGUGGGAGUGCGUCAAGACGACGUUUGUGGCAGCACACUCUGUAGCACAGCCUGCGUUGGCUCACUUGCUAGGCAACCUCUGAAUGCUGCCUUUCUCAAGUGUUUGGGAGGAGGUGAGCUGAUCUCCUUUUGAGCAUGGCUAGAACAGAGGAGCUCUGAU